UACGUGGCAUGGUUUCCUGUUUCCAAGGGAGGUGGCACGGCUGCAUUCUGGUGCUAUUGUUGUUCAAUAUUGGCAUUCAUUGGCCAGUGGAUAAGCUUGAAGAGGCAGCUGUUGGUGGAACACCAAUCUGGUCAGGCAAGACGCAGUGCACAUUGGUCUGAUUAUUAAUCUGACCAAAACUAAGUCCCUAGCCAUUGCCAUCUAGGAGCCUCUAACAUCAGAUUACAGCCCGCUCAGUAUUAACCUGCCUGGAUGGAAUAUUGAGCAGAUGACAACUGUCAAACACUUGGAUGUUUGAAAGAGGUGGAUGCUUGUUUAGCAGCAGCCAUCCCCAUGUUAUAGGUCAUUCAGUGGCCUCUAUGGAGAUGUUGGGAUAUCAAGCUUACUAUACCUGCACACAUAUAGAGCUACAGUUAUACCAACUCUACUGUAUGGCAGUGAAAUGCGGGCUCUGAGGCAGCUGAAGUGUGACAGAUUGAUGUUUGCAAUUCUCAUCUUUGUCAGUUGCUCCAUAUUAAGUGGCAGGACAAGAUCAGCAGUUCAGAAAGACACUGCAGCACAUCAGCAAUUUUUGAAGCCGCUCCAGCAGCCUCUCGACCCUGGAGAAACAAGGAUAAAGAGGAAAAAGGAACUUUUUUAAUGCAUUUUUUCCUGGAACAUGGAAGUGUGCAUUUCCACAAUAUGGGCAUGAUGUCAAAAUGUAGUGACAGUGUGCAUGCAUCCAAGAAAAGAAGCCUACAAGCAGUGAGAGGGG
Long non-coding RNA from Mauremys mutica (yellowpond turtle), 754 nucleotides. RefSeq lists it as uncharacterized. The transcript has 3 exons. Lineage: Eukaryota; Metazoa; Chordata; Testudines; Geoemydidae. The record is from RefSeq and is a predicted model, not a curated record.